This 800-nucleotide ribosomal RNA is filed under the name uncultured Bacillota bacterium. Its description in RNAcentral is "bacterial SSU rRNA". It matches the Rfam family "Bacterial small subunit ribosomal RNA", at positions 58 to 836 of the family's 1533-position model. Lineage: Bacteria; Bacillati; Bacillota. The record is from RNAcentral.
CAAGUCGAACGUGAAAGCCCCCUUCGGGGGGCAAGUAGAGUGGCGCACGGGUGAGUAACACGUAGGUAAUCUACCUUCGGAUGGGGAAUAACAACCGGAAACGGUUGCUAAUACCGCAUAAUGCAGCGGCACCUAAUGGUGACAGUUGUUAAAGCGGGGGAUCGAAAGACCUCGCGUCUGAAGAGGAGCCUGCGGCGGAUUAGCUAGUUGGUAAGGUAAUGGCUUACCAAGGCGACGAUCCGUAGCCGGCCUGAGAGGGCGGUCGGCCACACUGACACUGACAUACGGGUCAGACUCCUACGGGAGGCAGCAGUCGGGAAUUUUGGGCAAUGGGCGAAAGCCUGACCCAGCAACGCCGCGUGAAGGAUGAAAUCCCUCGGGAUGUAAACUUCGCAAGAACGGGAAGAAUAAGUCGGUGCUAAUACCACCGGCGAUGACGGUACCGUUUGUAAGCUCCGGCUAACUCCGUGCCAGCAGCCGCGGUAAUACGGGGGGAGCAAGCGUUGUUCGGAUUUACUGGGCGUAAAGGGCGCGUAGGCGGCCACCGCAAGUCAAUUGUGAAAUCUCCGGGCUUAACUCGGAAAGGUCAACUGAUACUGCGGGGCUAGAGUGCAGAAGGGGCAACUGGAAUUCUCGGUGUAGCGGUGAAAUGCGUAGAUAUCGAGAGGAACACCUGCGGCGAAGGCGGGUUGCUGGGCUGACACUGACGCUGAGGCGCGAAAGCUAGGGGAGCGAACGGGAUUAGAUACCCCGGUAGUCCUAGCCUUAAACGAUGAAUGCUUGGUGUCUGGGGUUUUAAA